Molecule: long non-coding RNA, 4583 nt
Organism: Stegastes partitus (bicolor damselfish)
Lineage: Eukaryota; Metazoa; Chordata; Actinopteri; Pomacentridae
Exons: 2
Source: RefSeq, a predicted model, not a curated record
UAUGAGGAAACGGGAGCAAUAUGACGGGAGCAUUGCUGAGUCACAUCCCGUCUGUCCUCGUUAGGCUACUUCUCCAAAUCAGUAUUUCAUCGCCAGAAAAGAUCCACUACAUUGACGCAUUUGGAGUUGGCUAAAGACAAAAGAAAAAGUAGCAGCCUUCGUAUCUAACCGACCUGUACAGAUGGAUUGAGGAGUGUGGAAGAUCACUGCUAGUCCUGGUUGUUUCAGGGCCACAAACGUAAGCACGACGAAGCCAAGGAGGAGGAAGACGCCGACGACGUGGAGGAGAAGCAGGAAGGGAAGGACUCCAACGAGGAAGAGGAGGGCAGCAGCUCGGAGGCCGGCGAGAUGCUGGCCGCCUUGGAGGCAGAACUCAAUGACUUUAUGUGAGGAAGCCGAGGGAACCGGGCAGAGACAACAAAACCCAACCCCAGUCGGCCCCACAUGUGGUACCUAAAAACUUAUUUUUCUGCUUUGGAACCUGUGUGUUAUUAGGAUGUAUGAGCCAUGAAUGUGUGCUGUAAUAAACAAUGUAUGUCCUGUACAGAAAUGACACGUUGCUGUGUAAAUAAAGGCUUAGAUUGUUGUAGCAUUGAUAUAUCGCCUUUUUGGCAUAAAGCGUUUGAUGUUAACAUUUUAUUGUAAGAUAACUAACUGUAGGAGACGUGAAAUUUGAUACUUUUUGGUUUUUCUAUUUCAAUUUUUAUAUUGAUGAGAAAAAGGUGAGUGAAAUCAUAAACUGUAAAUUUUGCUGAUUGUACAUGCCAAAGAGUUUGGAAUAGGUUUGCCAAGGUGUGCAGCUAAAGAUUUUACUCUCGACUUCCAGUUUUAUUUUUUUCUUUCGUCCUCCUCGACAGGUUUUUUUAGUGUCAUAAGUGCAACCAGCAGAUCUAGACGUUUGAAUGUGUCUCUUCCAGUCGUUUGUUCCUCCUCAUCGUGUUUGUACAUUUGACAACAUAAUAAUAGGAUAAGCUGUUCGGUUUUAUCGUCACGUGGCUCACUUCUCCUCUCCUCGAGCCACUCCGAUUGUUGAUCUCACACUUAGAGAGGACACUUCUGCUCGGCCUCCGCUCACAUACACUGGAGCUCGCCAAACUCUGCUUUCUUAAACGUUUAUGUCAGCAAGUUUACCAAAAAAAUAAAUAAACAAAUUUUUUCCUUCCUCCCGCUUUACCUUCUGCAUUGUCUGGCCUUGCGGAUUUGCAGUUUUUGAUUUAUGUCUAUCAAAUAAAAUCAAAAAUCACAUGACCUGAAAUCACAUCACAGUUUAUUGUUAUUUUGCUGUACAUAGUUUCUUCAUGAUCCAUUGACUAAAAGCAACUAAAUAAAGAAUUGUGUGCACGUCAGGAUCAGUUCAGCGUUCUGACAGGUCGUGGAGUGAAGCUGUUGAUCAGUCUGGAGGUUCUUCCUUCAGCGUUCUGGAAACGUUCGCCUGAUGGCAGCGGUUCAGAGAGUUUAUGGAGAGGAUGUGAGCUUCUGAGGAAGAGUUUAGUUUGUACCCACAGAGCACAAAAUCCUGUAUUUUUAAAAAAUGAAUCCAACAUUUUGGGAAAUAUGCUGAGAGUUAAAUGAGUAUAAAGGAAAUACUGGAAAAAUGGGGGGAAAAAAUCUGCUUUUCCUGGCUUCUGAAAUCUGAGAAUUACACACUUGUCCUCUUAACUGCUUAUAUGAUAGUAAACUGAAAACCUCAUCAGCCGUGUUCAGACAAAAUAUUUAAGCAAUUUUAAAAGGCACCUUGACUGGUUUUUUUCCCCCUGAUUUCUUUUUCUCGUUAAUUAAAAAUGAAUGUGAGUAUUCUCUGAGAACACGGUUGUAAAAUACCUCGUUCUAGAGGUAGCGUGGUCUGGGGUGUAUUUUCAGCAGCACAGUCACUGAAUGAUCAUAGAAAUAUUAAAAGGACAUCAUAGGAGUCCUGCUGGCAGCCUUUAUCAUCAUCUUCCAUCGCUGCACGUUGCUACUUGUUGCUUUUAAAUGACAGCCUAUAGGUGUGACAGACAUACAGUAGAUGUGUUGGUGCACGUUAUUGACAGGCGUGAGAGGAUCUGCUCCCUCUGAUGUGUGUGAACCAGAAGUCACAACUGAACCUAUUGGCCACAAUGUCUCUGUAAAUUAUUUAUGAUUUAGUCAGAAUGCUGCUUUGUCGCUUUUCCCUCAUGACCUGCCGCGACCCAUAAUAGUUUUUAUUCAGCGACCCAAACCUGCCGAACCAGUGCGCUACGGGUCGACCCACCGUGGUUCAAUCCUGCAAAGUGAAGAUUUGAUUAAAUGAAAUUCUAACAACUUUUUGACUUUAUAAUCUCAGAAAAGAGAGAUUGGGGGUAUUUCAUAUUUCAAAUCUGUUACUUUUUUCUUUAAUCUCAAAAAGUCUACGUUUUUUAAAUUGUUUUUUUUUAUAAUAGCACUCCCAUCACUUCCGCUGGCUCCAUAACAGUAACCUUCAACAAGAUGCUGCAUAGUGCGGCUUUAUCAGAAGAAUCUUAUUACUUUUGGCCCAAGCAAGGCUUUUCAUUUCUCCCAUCAGUCUUUGUGCUAAGCUAAACUAACGGGCUACUCGCUGACAGGUCUCUGCAAGAAAGAGAAAAAGCAUAUUUCCCAAAAAUCUGAAGCAUUCAUUUAAUGAAAUAUCUACAGGAAAAUAAAGGAAACCCAGAGGCCCUGGUUCUGGACCAGCACGGCUGAACUCAUUAAGUCGGAUUUCAUGAUUGUAUGGUUUAACUUUGAAUUCGGUCGUUAUUAAUCUGUUGGAAGGUUUUAUUCAUUCUCUCUUCUUUUAAAUCAGUUUUUAUAUUAGCACCAUUUUUACAGCCUAACAUGCACCAUGACUGCAGAACAUACAAACACAUGGAGGAACACUGCAAACUGCACAAAACACGAGAAGAACAUUUCUAGGACGCAUACAUCAACUUGCCUGAGAUAUUAGAAAAUUGUUUGUUUUAUUUUAAACACUGAUUUACAAAUUAGCAACAUUAGUCACAGACCUCCCCGAAAGCUGAGCUCUGAUCUUGUGUACCGCUGUUUGACUGUUUUUUUGUAUUUGCUGCACAUCUCUGUUUACUGCACGUGUUGUCACUUUGUGAAUUAGUCAUUUCUUUGUCAGUGCUGAAGAGGUUUUGUUCUGUUGCUCAUGCUGUGUUUGUUUGUUAAUGCUGGGUGCUGUGUUGAACUCUUUCCGCCACCAAACAGAACAAACUCUACAAAACUCCAUUCCGGCCGAUGAUUUAACUCCCAGAAACUCCCAAACACCUCCGUGUAUCAAAGUUAGAAAGAAAAGGCCGAGCUGUGACUCUGUACCGUUGCCAUCUCUGUAUUGCACAGAUCUAUGAAGCCCCUGCCUCUCUGUCUACCUUCCUCCUUCCCACUCACGGCAGCUCUAGCACACCAGCUCACCUCUUGACUCUGCUCAAACACUGUAAAACUGUUCAAGAUCACAUCAUGGAAAGUUUUAAUGUUGGAAUAAUUCAGCUGCACAGGUUUGAAUCAGAAACCAAUUCUGUAAAACAAUGAAGAUACAGAAAGUCCCACCCUGCACCCCCAGGAUCGGCUCUGCAGGUUUAACAGCCUCUGAAGUCUGAAUCUGUGUUUUUCAUUAGUCCACUCAGCCAUGGUGCUGACUGCAUGUUUCACUCUUGGAGUGUCUUCCAGCAUUUUAAAAAAACACCAUAUGGACAUGUUAACAAGGUAAAAAAUAAAACUAAAAACUUGAUUUUCGCUGGCGGGGAUCUUUAAUAAUUCAUCUAGAGCAGUUUUCUCCUGAAAAUGUCCUCAUUAGUGGGAUAAUCCAAAAAAUCUCUCCAUCAACAAUUUUUGUAAGGACUGCUGUAUUUUUUAUUUUUUUAUUUUUCCACCUCUGUUGUUUUGGGGACAAGGCAGAAAUCUCACAAACACACCCAAAAAAAAAAAAAAAACAACAGCAGCAUGAGGUACAGUUCAGGUAAAAUGUCCUUUUAAACUGCAAGUAGUUUGUACAAUUAGAGAAUGAAAUUGUUCUUAAUUCAACCUUGCUGACACCAGGGCUGGGAGCAGUGAGCAGAUAAAGCAGCGCUCAAACUGGUGUGACUGGUAAAAUGUGACUGUGUUGUUUGCACUCAACUGACAUCCCAUAUUACACGAUUUGAUGCUGCACAGCCGCCAUGCAAAGGUGUGGCGUGUGACUAAUGGGGCGUAUGUGACAGCAGGGUUGCUUACACUCACCCCUGAUGUUUAACAUCUGCUUUGAUUCAAAUCCACAGCGUUUAGUCUCUGUCUUUCCUUAACCGCUGAACUUUUGCCAGCGACAGAUCUUCCUCCUUCUGCAUUUAAGCUGCAGAACUAAAUAAUUGUAACUACUGACCUAAAGCUAGAGGGCUGACAUCAGUGUGGAUAUCUGACCUGUAGAUGUUUUUACCAAUAACCAAUUUACCAAUCUUUUCAAAAACAUGAACAAUAUUUUCCUUAUACGGUGACAUCCAUCCUGUUUGUGUCGUGCUGUUUUUUUUAUCAUUAAUUUCAAUCAAACAACUGACAUGUAAAGUAUUUGUAAAGUCUAUUUCCUACCUGACCCAGAGACAAAUGAUACUUUCAUUAAAUAAACAGUUUUACAGUAA